GACGAACGCUGGCGGCGUGCUUAACACAUGCGAGUCGAACGGAAAGGCCCUGCUUUUGUGGGGUGCUCGAGUGGCGAACGGGUGAGUAACACGUGCGUAACCUGCCCUUGACUUUGGGAUAACUUCAGGAAACUGGGGCUAAUACCGGAUCGGAGCUCCUGCUGCAUGGUGGGGGUUGGAAAGUUUCGGCGGGUGGGGCUGGACUCGCGGCUUAUCAGCUUGUUGGUGGGGUAGUGGUUUACCAAGGCUUUGACGGGUAGCCGGCCUGGGAGGGUGGCCGGCCACAUGGGGACUGAGAGACGGCCCAGACGCGUACGGGAGGCAGCAGGGGGGAAUAUUGCACAAUGGGCGGGAGCCUGAUGCAGCAACGCCGGGUGCGGGAUGACGGCCUUCGGGGUGUAAACCGCUUUCGGCUAUGACGAAGCGUGAGUGACGGUAAUGGGUAAAGAAGCACCGGCUAACUACGUG
RNAcentral lists this ribosomal RNA (468 nucleotides) under uncultured bacterium. Its description in RNAcentral is "partial 16S ribosomal RNA". It matches the Rfam family "Bacterial small subunit ribosomal RNA", at positions 28 to 507 of the family's 1533-position model. The record is from RNAcentral.